Molecule: long non-coding RNA, 2758 nt
Organism: Lolium rigidum
Lineage: Eukaryota; Viridiplantae; Streptophyta; Magnoliopsida; Poales; Poaceae
Exons: 4
Source: RefSeq, a predicted model, not a curated record
UCCGCGCUCGUCUGCAGCCGGCACAGGUCCAGCCCUCCUCUGCCGCCCUUCCAUCCACCAGUUUCACAUUCAACCGCUCCUUAAUCUUCUCCUUCACCUAGAUCGGCCGCCACCCACGAGACAGGCGCAGGGAUGAGCCGACGUAGGCGCCUUCUGGCCUGACGGGAUGCGACCACAUGGUGGCGGUCGCAGCAGGCCGGCAGCAGCGCGCCGAUGUAGCCAACCUCUGAGGAGAGCGGGCCAGAGAGGGCAAGUUCUAGGAAUUUGCCUCUAGGAUUAAGAUGUGGAGCUUGGAGAUGGCCGCACAACAGCAGAGUGGUAUUUUCAAGGUAUCUAUCAACGUACAUCCAACGCUGGGUUCCUCCUCGGUCGCAGGCAAAGAGACACAACGAUAUCUGGUACCUGAUUGUAGAAGAGUAGCUUGAUUGCAGUAAUGUUUCAGUUCUUUUUUUUUUGUCAUGUGAUCUCCAUAUCUCCAGCUAUGGAGCUAAUUGAAUAAUGGGGAAAGGUGAUUUCAAACAACACCCGAGUGUGAGAGUACCAUUGGAUCAUAUUUUAUUUCACUAUAACCUUGGAUAUGAUCUUUAUGGAAUUGUUCUUUGCAGUGACUUUACCUAUGGUUUUCUUGAAUGUGUUCAGAAAGGAGUAGAGGGAGCGAUCUCUCAUGUCGUUGGCAAGAAAACUGUUUCACCAUCACAUAAGGGGUGGAUCUUGGCAAAUCUGUAAGGCAACUAUCCAAGGUACACACUAGAUGUGAACGUGGAGAGGGUGGAGGACGUGGUGAAGCACCAGCAGCUGCUCGAGGAGGCAAGAGACCUGCAACACCUGCCUGCCUUGGCGGUGGGCGUCGUUCCGAUUGCAGAGAUAUUAUCCAAGCUAGAAAGAAAGGAUGGAGGAUAAGAGAUUGUGAUGGUUGCAAAAUAAGAAGAUUUACAUUGUGUUGCAGCAACAUUAGAAGGAACUAUUUAGCUCCAGCUUCAGGUAUAGGUAAAGGCUGCCAUAUGUGAAGUAAUCAUCAUUAUACUCUUAUUUCCGCCCUACCGAUGAAUAAUGGGUUGCUUUUACCUUUUCUUCUGUUGUAACACAACUUUCUUAAAGAGGACAUCACCUCCUCUUCCAGCUCUAGACACCAAUCUUUGGCAUGAUGCAAGGAUAGCCUGUACGCCUGACGACCUACCGCUUUCUAGGCCGCAAUAUUUUUCUGUUGUGCGCUCAGUUAAUUGCAUGAUUGCAUCCACUAAAUUCUUGUAGUUCUUAUGGCUGCUUGAGGUUUUCAUGGUAGAAUUUAAUUAACUGCGGGCACCAUAAGCCUAACUGUUGUUUAGUAAUUAUCGUUAAAACCUUUGUGAUUGAUCAUGUACAGUUCUUAAGGAUUACCAUUUUGUUUAGGCUGGCAACCAAGAAGAAGCCCAGCGACAAACUUCUUGAAGUUUGGUGAUUUCUUUCCCCUCCCCCUCCCUAAAAAUCAGAGGUAAAAUUCUUCAGAGUUUGCACCUGUUUGUUUGUUCCUGAGAUUUGGUGAAGUCGUGUGAAUGUGUCCAAGAUCUUUGUGAUGAUGGCCAUAAAGAUAGUGAUGCAAGAUACUGGGUAUCCAAAGUUGUGGAUGCAACAUUUUGAGUUCUACUUUAAUCUUGCAUAUUUGAUAUCUUUUUUGUGGGAAUUUGCUAACUACUAACCUAUGCUUCUACAUGCUAAAUAUCUACUGUGUGCAAUUAAUCGGAGUUCAAGGUCUGCAAGGUUCAUGUGUCCUUAUAGAGAAACACACUGCUAGCAUCUCCAGAUAUUUACUUUUCUGUUUUGCUUAGGUUUUGUAAACUGUCAUUGCUUAGCUCUGUGAUUUUUAAUCAUCAUAUCCCUUUUUACUUAGAAAAUGAUUGCUAGCAUCUUUAGAAGCUACAAUAUGUUCAGAGUAGAUUAGGUACGUUAAGCUAAGAAAUAUGUGCAUUAUGACGGCUUAUCUCCUUGCAACCUUAACACCUGAUAUCAUUUUUUUCCACUUCAGCCAAUGCUUCCGGGAUCCUAACGAUUCAGAUCCAGGUAUAGUUUCUUCUUUCCAGUGUUUGUUUCAGACUGCAUCUUUCAUGCACAAAAACUGGGUCAAAAAAAUUCAUAUCAUGGGUCGUAGUUAUUAUGAAACUAUAAAAAAUGAUCUAUGCCGUUCUGGGCUAGGAUACAUAGAUUUUCAGUUAGCAUUGCAACUCAAGUGAGCUUUUUGAUAAAAUUCUAUGUCCUAUUCUUCCAUGGUAACAUAAAGAGAAAAGAGCUACCAGUCUCACCUGUCAAAUAGAAUAUGAAAGUUUCCACUGUUAGUUCAUCGGCCAGCCAAUGCAUCAACUUUUCAGAAGUAUUUGUGAUUGUUUGGUUUGAUCAGUGUCUUUCAAAAAUUAUCACAAAACCUUUAGAUUUUUCUUAUUAAAUCUAGCUAGCUAUCGAAUCGUUUCGAGGUACGACCUAAAAAGGAGACAUCAACGACUGAUCAAGUUGUCCCUUAAUUAUUUGACAGUGAACAUGCUCUCCUUUAUAUGACACUUCUUCAGUUCUAACUUGUAAGGCACAAAAACCAUUUUAAUGCUGGCACUACAUCCUUGCAUGCCGAGGGAGCAGAGGACCACUGAGAGGAAGUAAAAAGGCAAAAUGGGAGUGCAGUUGGCAAGUUACAUCCUUGUUUUGUUAUAUGUAUCGACGAUAUACUGUAUCAAGUAUUCGCGUGUCAGAUAUCAACUUUCUUAUUAUCAUUAUAAUGGUCGCAACUUGUCAA